AUCUGCGAGAGCGCUGGACUCAACACUUUCCCACAUUAUACAGAUGAUCUGACGCUGGUCUCUGUAACACAGGCUUGAUAUUUUACACACCAGUGUUGUUCUGUAACACAAACAUCUCAUGAUUUUACUUCUUCAAUCGAAAAGGGCUGUCGCGAUAAACCGACGGUAAGUGUCACGUGAUUUAUGCCCAGCUUUUGAGUGAAGUACGGGAAAAUGCUGCUGCGUCCUAAAGCCAGAGGGCGCUCUCGUGCGGAAACUCCACAUACGCACUGCAGAAGAAGACCAUAACACGCUCUAGAAUCUAGGAAAUGCCUACGGACAUCUUUUUAUCACUGUUCCUCAAGCCUCAUCAGCACAGCGGCAGGAGACUGGUGGCCUCAUCAGGACCCAGACACAGUGGAGAACUUGGCUCUAGUCGCAGUAGCAGCAGCAUCCUUCACAGCAUCUGACACUUUGUAUUUCAGACAACAUGCCAAUGAAACACUGGAAAAAUUCAAGAUUAUCAACCGUGUGUUUGGUCAAGUGGCUACAGUUCGACACAUACCAGACAAGUUGGUGUGUUACGAAAGAUCCAAGGGACUGCAUCGUGUGGGAAAGAUUCCAAGGGUUAAGUGCUCUACUGUUCAUAAUGAAGUUACAACUAAUCAGACUACCCGACAGAUGUGUCUGACCUGUCUGAGGAUGACAGCGUUAAUAUAUCCUUUAAAAGUGGACGUCAAGGAAUGGAAAAGGCCUAAUUUGACACAAACAAUCAUGGCGCUUGAGUUCUUAUUUAGUGCUGAAUGGAUCAGGAGUCAGUGCUUAGCAGUUUGCUCCUCACUACACAUACCAGAGGACAAGGAGCUGGAGUGUUACAAGAACAUUACUGGCUGUGCGGUUACAGAGUAUACCUAUCAUUACCUAGAGAGUGGACAGGACUGUGUUCCUUGGUACAGCUACACGGUGGAGCGAUCAUCAUACCACAUGAAAUGAUAACACGACAACAGAGGACACGAAGAGGACUGUUUGAUUUCCUAUCUAAUAGCCCCGUGCCAAAGAAUCAUCACAUCUGGACAGUGGCAGAGAAAGUUUCAGCUGCUUUUAGUCCUAUGUUGGGAGUCAGUUCUUUGAUGAAUGAAGUCGAGAUCACCAGAUUUGAACUUACAUCGUUUAUGAAUACCACGAACAUUGUCAUGAAAGGCAUCAAGGAGGAGCUACGUGGACUACGAUUGACUGUGUUGCAAAAUCGCUUGGUCUUGGACCAAUUGACAGCAGCAAAAGGAGGAGUUUGUGCUGUCAUUGGAGAAACCUGUUGCACUUAUAUUCCAGAGAACGACGCCGAUGGACAUCUCAUCGAUGAAGGGAUGAAAAACAUUUCAUUGAUGGUUGAGACUUUGACCAAAUCUGAGGUUACCUCAGAUACUUUUAACUGGGACUGGAUCAAGGGUGUGUUUACCAACAUGAAAAAUUUGAUGUUAAUUGCGGCUUGCAUUAUUGCAUUUCUUUUAUUGACAUUAUGCAUUUGGCCAUGUGUAAUGAAGUCAUGCUGUGUCACAACAUAGCAUGGAUAAUACUCACACAUAUGCUAAUAUUAAGGGUCAAGAAUUACUGAAGCUUAGAGGGUUUAAAAAGACAGAAAUACUCAUGUUAUGAAGUAUUUACAGAAUGGUGGAAGGAUAUUUUUCAUACAUUGCUUGCUAAUAACCUAAGUAUUAUUAUAUUAUUCACUGAAUGCACAUGCAAUUUGAAAUUUUUAAAACACUUUUGAUCUAUUGUUUGAUAUUACGUUUUAUGUUAGUCUAUUAACUCCCUAUGGUUAAGGAUAACACCUGAUUGGAGUAUGAGGCUUUUCAGCCUCAAAGGGGGGAUUAUAUGGUGGUUUUUCUAUUAUAGUAUUGAGUUUCUUAUGUGAAAUAGUACAUUUAAGUUAGUUAUAGAUUUCAUGCACAUCUCUGAUACAGCAAAGACUAGGAGUCUCGUAGCAAAGGCUAUUUGCCCAUGGGUCAAAGGUUAUGAGUCCAGGAUGAGCACCAAGCGGCACCAUUAGACAUCUGGUUAACGUUACAAACACACAGACACUUUGAAGAGACAUACAGCAAAAACACUUUGCAGAUAUUAGUUAGUUCGAGCAUACUUCAAGUAAAUGUUUUACAACACAAAAGUAGACAGUAGUCUGUGCAUUACUAUAUUUUAUUGCACAGAUGUUUUCAAUAUUAACUUGUUUUGAACAGUAACCUUUUUGGGUCACUCAGUAUCCAUUUAACCAAGAGUUCAUGGUAAUAAAAACUAUGUUAAGCAAGGAAGGGUUUAGUAAAUGACAAUAAUGAUAUACAUUUGCCUGCUAGUAUAUUUUUCUUUUAAGAACUUCCUAAAAGGUCUGGCCACGGUUAAAUCUUAGCAUAGUAAACCUGACAUAUACCUGUAGCAGGUCACGACCUGAGUAAGAUAUAAGGGCAGCAACUCAUAAGGAGGAUGAGGUAAUAAAAAGGUGAUAUCAUGUGAAACCUGAUUGGGUAGAAGGUGACGUCUGGCGACGCAUGAUUGGUUAACACUGUGAAAAACAACUUGAAGUUACUGUAUAAAAGAUGGAGUCAGAUGUGUAUUCAUUAGACAUCUUCAGAUGAACUCUGUGUGUCUCACUUUGCUUGCUCGAGCAAUAAAGAUUGAAACUCUCGAAACCUGGCUCCCCGGUCUUCGUGAAUUCUUUCUACAUUGGAUGAUCGAUUUUGCCACAACACCAACAGACCGCAUAGGGGACGGAGAAAAAAAUAACGGGGAAAAAUGUUCAAAAGGGAAAAAACACCCACGGAAUGAGGCACUUAUCCACAAGAACCUACAACAGUGUCCAACCUGCGCGGGUCGAAAGACGGGAGAUACCAUCCACAGCCAUUCGAACUCGGGAAGAGCAGAAACAGUCCUCAAUAAUCCACAGCGGUAUAUCCACAAAAAUGGGAGAGAUGCUCACUCAGUCAGGCUGUAAGAAUCCAUAGAAUGAAGAACCCCUCGGUAGAGCAGAAGAUCUCCCCGGUAGACCAAGCACUCGACUCGCCUGGAGUAACCCCUUGAAGAAUCGCCACAGGACGAAGCCAGCAGGAAUCGUCACCAAAACAGGAACAGAGAUAUCAGGACAGGGUGAGUAUAGCACUGGAGCCUGGACAAGACAAGGUGAUUCUAGACAAGACUGGAGCUAAGGUGCCAGAGAAUAAACUCGUAACGGACUGACAUCGGACAAUGUAAAACACAGGGAAUAAGAAGGGGAGAAUUCAGAAAGGAUGAUGAGAGACCAGCCGGGAAAGAGGAAAGCCCAAAGGGGAACCAGGUAAAUCGGAGAAAUCUAUAACGAGCUGAAGACAGGAUAACAAGGGGGCGGGGCAGCACACGCGGACUCCGAGCACAUGGCAAGCUGUCAAGUGCUCGACAAAACAAAGACAGAGGAUAAAACAGACAAAAAUGUGCUGCCUGUGGCCCCAGAAGCAUUCUUUUCUUUCAGGUUCCAGAAGCUAUUGGUCCACAUCAGCCUGUGUGCUGUCCUUUCAGUUUUGCCCAUCGCCCUUGACCAGUCCUCUCUCUUCUGCCUGUUUGUGUACUGGUAAAUAAAAUAUUAGUUCAUAUCUGCAAUUGAAACCCAUCUUCAUUUUCAGACAGGUAGAAUGUGCAUUUGAAAAAAUAUAUGAAAUAGAUUGAACAUUGAACUAUUUUAAUUGUCAUUUAAACAUGUUCUGUCUCACAGUUUUCCUGCAAUUUA
Triplophysa rosa is the source of this 3724-nucleotide long non-coding RNA. RefSeq lists it as uncharacterized. The transcript is spliced from 3 exons. Lineage: Eukaryota; Metazoa; Chordata; Actinopteri; Cypriniformes; Nemacheilidae. The record is from RefSeq and is a predicted model, not a curated record.